Molecule: non-coding RNA, 75 nt
Organism: Haemonchus placei
Lineage: Eukaryota; Metazoa; Nematoda; Chromadorea; Rhabditida; Trichostrongylidae
Source: Rfam
GGCCCGAAUUUGGAGCGGAGUAGAUUAGUAGGAUCGGCUGACCCUACUAAACUACUCUGCUCCAGAUUUGUGUCC